CUUGUUGAGUUGGUUUCCGCAUCAGCCUUCCAUCCCAGCGUCGAAGCAGGGGAAGCAUCCAACCCUCCGUGAUCCACGCGGUGCACCAGCGACCAGCUCCUUCCCAGCCGCAUCCAACGAGUGCCCACCACGUCCAGCUCCUCUGCCAUCAGCCCGUCCCAGCCGGCUCCAAUCACAGCGCUGAAACAGGGAGACUCUUUGAUGCCGAUGAUUCGAAUCCUCCCCCACCAAAGCAACCCGAUCCUCCA
RNAcentral lists this long non-coding RNA (248 nucleotides) under Phoenix dactylifera (date palm). RNAcentral's name for it is "long non-coding RNA (PDAC_LNC016172)". Lineage: Eukaryota; Viridiplantae; Streptophyta; Magnoliopsida; Arecales; Arecaceae. The record is from RNAcentral.